AGCGAACUCAGGUGCCAAAGCAGAACGUGCAAACUUAACCCCUGCACCACCGGGCCUGCACUUUUACCUUUUUUCUCAUGCCACUGAGAUGAGUCCUUGUCCCAUUUCUGCCCGGAGCCAUCCUAUGGCCUGCUGACCUUUCUUCACAGUGGAAUGGGAAACUCUCAGACCAUCCAGGGGCCUGGACUUGCACUGUGAUAACGUUUCAUUAUACGCUCCUGGAGGGAGGCAGUUAACGCUAAGGGCUAAAAAUCCACUGCCAUUGGAGGAUCAGCCAGAAAAGGGUCGAGAGACCUGGAGUUUAGUCCUGUUUCUCUUUUAGAGUCAUCUACCCUCCCCGGCCUCUUCCCGGUUGGAAGAGGGACGAGCCGGAUCCGAUGGAGACGCCAACAUUCCCGCGCGACUCUGCAGAAAGCGCAUUACGCGGUGGGAAAGUAGCAUUCGCCUCGCUAAAACCCAUUUCACAAUGUCUUUUGCAUCAAAAAGGUUUUCAAAGAUUUUCUUCCCAGACCACAUAUUUUCUCACAGAUCCUGAACGUUUCACGCUCUAUUCUUCUUCCUGUGUUGACAGCAGGAGGAAGCACAUCCGCUGGGGCGGGCGCAGCGCUGGCCCCUUCUCUCCCGCUCCUCUGGGCUUGUUUGUUGAUGAAGCGGGAGCCGAGCCAGAGCAGCCGGCAGCUGCAGACGCGAGGAGGGGCGGCCGCAGAGCUGCUCGGCUGGCCCUGCGGGAGCCUCGCUGACAAACGCAUCGGCUGCUUCGGGAAAAGAAACUGUUGACCGGAACACACUUCAGUGGGCGACCAUCACCUUCCUCUCCAGGGUCUGGGGACCACUGCUCAGAACUGGUCUUAAUGAUCUCAGCCUUCCGUUGGGGCCUAGGAGCCACCUGGUGGACCAAGGGACAGCCUGCAAUGGCUUUCUUCCUAGACAGAAACGCCGCUAGGUCACCACUCAUGUUAUAUAGUCAGAAGCCUUGCUUUAAAAAUUAGAUUGCAAAGUAGAGUGUAUCUCAUAUGAUUAAACAUGGUUUUUUCCCCAAUCGUUUUUGUGAGUUUAUUACAAAUGGACUAAUUUUGCUGUAAGCAAAAUGUCUUUUAUUAUGCUGACAAUGUAUAAACAGAGAUUAAAGGUUUUUCCCUGAGAAUAGUUGUUUGAAAUACCAACAUGGAAGAAUGACGAGUAGUUUCACUGAUGGCCGUGCUGUUUGCAGCGGCCCCCUCUGAAGCGAGGAGUCUGGGUAAGGACUUUCCCCCAGUAGAGAUGUUGUAACAAUUACACUGAAUUCAGGAGACUUCCUUUAAAUAAGCAAAUGUUUCCAGUAACAACGGAAUGUAAACCUGACUCCAGUUAGUAGAUUUGCUACUAUCUCUUUCCUAUCUGUGAUUUUAGCUGCGUUCAGCUAAAAGAGUAAAAUUUCUCUAUCUUCCUAAUGACUCAUCUCCAAUUAAAUUAUUUACAAUGAAUUCCCAGGCCUUUAGGGUUUAUCAGCGAAUUUUAAAACGUUGACUAACAUUCUGCAAACAGUAUAUUUAAGCCCCACAGGUAGGAUAGUGCCCCCAGAAAUUUAGCUCAUAACCACGAUCAUGGGUCAUGUUCCCUGUGUUGCCGUCUGGGGGCUGCAUGUGGGAAAACCAUGCCGAUCAAUGUAACCUUUGGAUUUCUUUGAAAGGAAACAGGCUGCACGCACUACAGGGAGAGAACAAAGAGAAAGAUGGAGGAAUACAGGUGUCCAUGCAAGAUCAUGGCCACUCUGGACCAACAGCUCAAAGUGUGUGUGUGGUGAUUAAUUUUACGUGUCAACUGGAGGGUAGUUUUGGAUGAGAUUAGCAUUUAAAUUGGUGAAUUUUGAGUAAAGCAGAUUCCUCUCCUGAAUGUGGGUGGGCCUCAUCCAAUCGGUUGAAGGCCUGAAUAGAACAAAAAGACGUGACUCCCUAAGCAAGAGGGGCUCUCCAGCAGACUGCCUUUGGACCUCAUCUGCACCACCAGCUCUCCUGGCCCUUCAGCCUGCCAGCCCACACUGCAGAUUUUGGAUUCGCCAGCCUCCAUAGUUGUGUGAGCCAGUUCCUUAUAAUAAAUCUCUUUCUGUACA
Molecule: long non-coding RNA, 2089 nt
Organism: Equus caballus (horse)
Lineage: Eukaryota; Metazoa; Chordata; Mammalia; Perissodactyla; Equidae
Source: RefSeq, a predicted model, not a curated record